This 1402-nucleotide ribosomal RNA is filed under the name Polypedates otilophus (Bongon whipping frog). RNAcentral's name for it is "partial 16S rRNA". It matches the Rfam family "Bacterial large subunit ribosomal RNA", at positions 372 to 2594 of the family's 2925-position model. The record is from RNAcentral. Lineage: Eukaryota; Metazoa; Chordata; Amphibia; Anura; Rhacophoridae.
CCUCAAAUCAAGCCUAACGUCACAACAUAUUUACUUUCCACUUUACAAAACCUUAAUAAAACAUUUUAUCUUUUAAGUAAAGGCGAUUAAAAAAAAUCUAAGCGCUAUAGAGAUAGUACCGCAAGGGAAAAAUGAAAUAUAAAUGAAAAAUUAAAGCCACUAACAGCAGAGAGUUCAUCUCGUACCUUUUGCAUCAUGGCUCAGCAAGCCUUUUUAAGCAAAAUGAAUUUUAAGUUUAAUAUCCCGAAACUAAGUGAGCUACUUCAGACCAGCCUGCAGGGCCAACCCAUCUCUGUUGCAAUAGAGUGGGACGAGUCUUAAGUAGAAGUGAAAAGCCUAUCGAACUUAGAAAUAGCUGGUUACUCAUGAAAAGAAUAUAAGUUCUGCCUUAAGUUAUGUUAUGAAUUCAAACAAAUCAAUUGACUUAGGAGUUAUUUAAAUAAGGAACAGCUUAUUUAAACCAGGACACAGCCUAGCCAAAAGGGUAAACAUAACCAAUUAUAAUUUAAGUGGGCCUAAGAGCAGCCACCUUUUAAAUCGCGUCAAAGCAUAAAUUUGUUAUUGCCUAAAUACCAAUAAUUAUAAUUAACCCUUAUUUUAUAAUGAGUGACUCCAUACCCAUAUGGAAGACACCAUGCUGAGAUUAGUAACAAGAAUAAGAUAUUCUCCAAAAUGUAAACGUAAACCAAAAUGGACUAUCCAUUGGUAAUUAACUAAAAUGAACCUACUGCAGAAACACUACCAAGAGAACCCUGCACCGUAAAUAGUUAACCUAACACUAGGACAUUACUGGAAAGAUUAAAAGAAAGAGAAGGAAUUCGGCAAAUUACAACCCCGCCUGUUUACCAAAAACAUCGCCUCUUGCACUCUCAUAAGAGGUCCCGCCUGCCCAGUGAAUUUUCAACGGCCGCGGUACCCUAACCGCGCGAAGGUAGCGUAAUCACUUGUUCUUUAAAUGGGGACUUGUAUCAAUGGCAUCACGAGGGUUACACUGUCUCCUCUUUCCAAUCAGUGAAAUUGAUCUUCCCGUGAAGAAGCGGGAAUAUAACUAUAAGACGAGAAGACCCCAUGGAGCUUUAAAUCGCGCAGCAACUUAAAUACACAACCCCUCAUAUUCUGUAAGACCGUGCUGCAACGUUUUAGGUUGGGGUGACCACGGAGUAAAAUCAAACCUCCACGACGAAAAGGCAAUAAUCUUUAUUUAUGAACUACUGUUCUAAAAAUUAGCACACUAACGGAUAAUGAUCCGAUAAUCGAUCAACGGACCAAGUUACCCUGGGGAUAACAGCGCAAUCUACUUUGAGAGCUCAUAUCGACAAGUAGGCUUACGACCUCGAUGUUGGAUCAGGGUAUCCCGGUGGUGCAGCCGCUACUGAAGGUUCGUUUGUUCAACGAUUAAAAC